AACUCUCGGGGCGCUCCCUAGCCCUGGGUGGGUGGAGCGGGGGAAGCGGAGUACGUUGGACCCGGCUCCGCCCUACCCCACGGGGCCGCCUGGAGAGGUGCUGGGAGCUGGGUGGAGCUUAGAGGAAUUAAACUUUGGCCCUGCGCCUCGUCCAGCCUAGGUUCCACCCUUUUCUGGGAACGGUCUUACUCUGUGACCCACGCUGGAGUGCAAUGGCACCAUCACGACUUACUGAAGCCUCCACUUCCCGGGCUCAAGUGAUUCUCACACCUCAGCCUCCUGAGUAGCUGAGACCACAGUUUACACCCCGCCACUCCUGAGCACCGCACACCGGCUUCCUCCCAGUCCCUCAUCUGAGAACUCAUGAAGCCACUUGGAAUCCCUCUCUGCUUUGCCUGGCUCAUUCCAUGUCAAUUUCAGAUCUUCACUUCAGGUCAGCUCCAAGGAGGCUAUCCUUGCCCAUCUUCCUAAAAUAGAGCUCUCAAAACCUGGCUGUUUUCCUUCAGAGCACUGGCCUCCAAUUGCUCCGGUAGAUUGCAAAUGACCUGCUUUCUUUCUGUUCCCGGGCGUUUGGACCCCUGUCUUGGACC
This 590-nucleotide long non-coding RNA is filed under the name Homo sapiens (human). RNAcentral describes it as "non-protein coding TPT1-AS1:47". Lineage: Eukaryota; Metazoa; Chordata; Mammalia; Primates; Hominidae. The record is from RNAcentral.